Long non-coding RNA from Herpailurus yagouaroundi (jaguarundi), 125 nucleotides. RefSeq lists it as uncharacterized. NCBI's taxonomy places the organism in Eukaryota, Metazoa, Chordata, Mammalia, Carnivora, Felidae. The record is from RefSeq and is a predicted model, not a curated record. The transcript has 2 exons.
AAAGGCUGAAGUCAUUGGAGGUGUCAAGAGGCUUUCCCCACAAGAAUAUGGUCCCAGCUUUCUAGAAGCAGGACCCUUGACAUCUGCACCUUAGGUCUUCUUCUUCUUAAAAAGCAAAACCAAAC